Long non-coding RNA from Corythoichthys intestinalis (scribbled pipefish), 626 nucleotides. RefSeq lists it as uncharacterized. The record is from RefSeq and is a predicted model, not a curated record. The transcript has 3 exons. Lineage: Eukaryota; Metazoa; Chordata; Actinopteri; Syngnathiformes; Syngnathidae.
UGAACAUAGCCGAACAACACAGAGUCUAUAAGACUAAAAGAUUUUAAAGAUAUUAAAUUACUGAAUUUACCGACAUGGUCAAAAUUAUGUCGGUCAUCGUGAAGAAUUUCGGUAACGGUAAAUUUUCGGUAUAUCCGGCCAGCUCUAGGGCCUCCGCCCCUCCUUCCUGAGCCCUGCCUCAGGUGAGGGGAGUUUUGCCUGAUUACAGGUCGAAUGUCAGACGGGUGAAGCGGCCAGCUGUAAGCAAUCGUCAUCAGCCAGUUUAGAAGCCUAGCGGACACACCACCACGUCGCCCGAACAACUUGUCUGUUUUCCACGACCUGAUCAGCGUGCCCCUCGUCGGAUACUUCUGCCAACCUCAGCCUGUCAAACCCCCAGCUGACAGCUACACACGUGGCAUCCACAGUGCUCACCACGACCAUUCCGCCUCCUGCCUCGCUUGAAGCUCAAGACCCAAAUAAACGAGAAUUCUCCCUCUCACCGUGUUUUGUCACGUUGCCUGCGUUGGGAUCCCCCCCACCGGUUCCACCAUCCCUAACACUUUAUAGAUAUGGACGUAAAACAGUCUCGAUUCUUUGCUAAAAGUAAACUAUGAGGCUAGUCAGUUACGAAAAUUAGCCACCUC